Long non-coding RNA from Coturnix japonica (Japanese quail), 1711 nucleotides. The record is from Ensembl. NCBI's taxonomy places the organism in Eukaryota, Metazoa, Chordata, Aves, Galliformes, Phasianidae.
GGUGGGGUUUUGGGGGGGGUUUGGGGCGGGGUUUGAGGCAGGGUUUGAAGCGAAGAUUGAGCUGGGGUUUGAGGCGCGGUUUGGGGCAAGUUUUGCGACGGGGUUAGAGGCGCGGUUUGAGGCGGGGUUCGAGGCUGGGUUUGAGGUGGGGUUUGAGGUAGGUUUGAGGCGGGGUUAGAGGCGGAGUUUGAGAUGGGGUUUGAGGAGAGGUUUGGGGUGGGGUUUGAGACGGGGUUUGAAGUGGGGUUCGAGGCGCAGCUAGAAGCGGGGUUUGGGGUGGGGUUUAAGGUGGGGUUUGGGGUGGGGUUUGAGGUGGGGUUAAAGGUGGGGUUUGGGUUGGGGUUUCUCAUGGGGUUUGAGGGGGGGUUUGAGGCGAGGUUCGAGGCAUGGUUUGAAGUGGAUUUUGGGUCGGGGUUUGAGGCGGGGUUUGAGGCGGGGUUUGAGGCGUGGUUUGAGGCAGGGUUAGAUGCGGGGUUUGGGGCGGUGUUUAAGGCAGGGUUUCAGGCGAGGUUUGGGGUGGCUUUUGAGGCGGGGAUAAAGGCGGGGUUUGGGGAGGGGUUUGGGGCGGGGUUAGAGGCGGGGUUUGAGGCCGGGUUACAGGCGGGGUUUGGGGCUGGGUUUGGGGCAAGGUUUGGGGAGGGCUUUGAGGCAAGGUGUGAGGCGGGGUAUGAGGAUUGGUUUGAGGUGGGAUUAGAGGUGGGGCUCGGGUAGGGUUUUAGGCGGUGUUCGAGGCGGGGUUAGAGGCAAGGUUUGGGGCGGGGUUUGAGGCGGGGUUAUAGGCUGGGUUUGGGACAGGGUUUGAGGCAAGGUCUGAGGCGGGUCUUGAGGCAAGGUUUGAGGCGGGGUUUGAAGUGGGGUUUGAAGUGGGGUUUGAAGUGGGGUUUGAGGCGCGGUUAAAAGCGGGGUUUGAGGAGGGGUUUGGGGCGGGGUUAGAGGCGGAUGUUCGAGACGGGGUUUGAGUCGGGGUUUGAGGUAAGGUUUGAGGCGGCGUUUGGGGUGGGGUAUGGUGUGGGGUUUGAGGCGGGGUUAGGGGUGGGAUUUAAGUUGGGGUUUUAGGCGGGGCUAAGGGCAAAGUUCAAGGCGUGGUUUAGGCGGGGUUUGAGGCGUGGUUUGAGGCGGGGUUCGGGGUAAGGUUUGGGUGGGGUUUGAAGAGGGGUUUGAGGCGAGGCUUGAGGCGGGGUUAGAGGCAGGGUUUGGGGCGGGGUUUCAGGUGCGUUUUGAGGCGGGGUUUGGGGUGGGGUUUAAGGUUGUUUUUGAGCCUAUGCUUGGGGCGGGGUUUGAGGCGAAGUUUGAGAUGGGGUUUGUGGCGGGGUAUGAUGUAUGGUUUGAGGCGAGGUUAGAGGUGGGGCUUGGGGAGGGGUUUUUGGCGGGGUUUGAGGUGGGGUUUGAGGCGGAGUACAAGGCGAGUUUCGAGGCGGGGUUUGAGGCAAGGUUUGAGGCGGGUUUUGAGGUGGGGUUUGAGGCGAGGUCUGGGACGGGGUUUGAGGCAGGAUUUGAGGUGGGGUUUGAGGCGGGGUUAAAGGCGGGGUUUGAGGCGUGGUUUGGGGAGGGGUUUGAGGCGGGUAUAGAGGCGGGGUUAGACACAGGGUUCGAGGCGAUGUUCGAGGCGGGGUUUGAGGUGGGUUUUGAGACGGGGUUUGAGCUGUGGUUUGAGGCAGGGUUAGGGGUUGGGUUUGGAGUGGGGUUUGAGGCGGGUUUUGAGGCGGGGUUA